This 206-nucleotide unclassified non-coding RNA is filed under the name uncultured fungus. RNAcentral describes it as "sequence contains ITS1, 5.8S rRNA gene". The stretch from base 158 to 206 matches the Rfam family "5.8S ribosomal RNA", at positions 1 to 49 of the family's 154-position model. The record is from RNAcentral. Lineage: Eukaryota; Fungi.
UCUCCGUAGGUGAACCUGCGGAGGGAUCAUUAACGAACGAUCAUCCUUGAUCUUCCUACCCUCAAACCACUGUGGACAUGAGACGUGCUUCGGCGUCGUGAGGCGCCGCCUUUAUGCUCAAAGCCCUUCAAUGUCUGUCAUGAAUGAAAAAUGUCAAAACUUUCAACAAAGGAUCUCUUGGCUCUCGCAUCGAUGAAGAACGCAGC